GUAUACGACUCGAGCGACAUACUAAAACACACGCAAGAUCUGUCUUGAAAAAUGCUGUUGCCAGGGACCCUCAGAUCAUGUUACCUGAGCAUCCUCAGAUGAACCAAGCAUGCAAUCAGAGGGAGAAUGUCGCGUAUCCAGUGUUCACCUCUGAUACCCACAUCCACCCGCAAGCGAUGCCCACCUUCUCACUGACCUUCUCUGCUUGGAUCAGAGGCAGUUUUCUUAUUUCCUUGCCUCGAGAUGCUGUGUCAUACAGCAGCAGGAACAGACAGUCAGACACAAGGACUCGAGGCAAUGGCGGCGGCUGUGUAUGGGGAUUGACCCGCACCUGGGACUCAAGACGAGAUAACCGCUUUAUCAGAUUAAAGACUGCGAUUGGCAAA
RNAcentral lists this non-coding RNA (386 nucleotides) under Pongo abelii (Sumatran orangutan). The record is from RNAcentral. Lineage: Eukaryota; Metazoa; Chordata; Mammalia; Primates; Hominidae.